AGGUCAGUAGCUCAGUUGGUAGAGUCCCGGUCUCCAAAACCGGUUGUCGCGGGUUCGAGUCCUGCCUGGCCUGCUA
Molecule: transfer RNA, 76 nt
Filed under: Treponema sp.
Lineage: Bacteria; Pseudomonadati; Spirochaetota; Spirochaetia; Treponematales; Treponemataceae
Description: tRNA-Trp
Rfam family: tRNA
About the family: Transfer RNA (tRNA) molecules are approximately 80 nucleotides in length. Their secondary structure includes four short double-helical elements and three loops (D, anti-codon, and T loops). Further hydrogen bonds mediate the characteristic L-shaped molecular structure. tRNAs have two regions of fundamental functional importance: the anti-codon, which is responsible for specific mRNA codon recognition, and the 3' end, to which the tRNAs corresponding amino acid is attached (by aminoacyl-tRNA synthetases). tRNAs cope with the degeneracy of the genetic code in two manners: having more than one tRNA (with a specific anti-codon) for a particular amino acid; and 'wobble' base-pairing, i.e. permitting non-standard base-pairing at the 3rd anti-codon position.
Source: RNAcentral